GAUCAUUACAGAAUACCCCUCCGGGGGCUUUCUCAACCCAUGUUUACCCCCUUGUGUUUUGGCAGCCUCGGCUGCCAACAUAACUCUUCUGUAUUGUCGUCUGAGUAACAUACAAAUAUUUAAAACUUUCAACAACGGAUCUCUUGGCUCUGGCAUCGAUGAAGAACGCAGCGAAAUGCGAUAAGUAAUGUGAAUUGCAGAAUUCCGUGAAUCAUCGAAUCUUUGAACGCACAUUGCGCCCCUUGGUAUUCCGAGGGCGUGCCUGUUCGAGCGUCAUUAACACCCCUCAAGCUUGCUUGGCCUUGGGGCUCGCGUCUUCGCGGCCCUUAAAAUCAGUGGCGGUGCCGUCCGGCUCUCAGCGUAGUAAUUUUUCUCGCUCGUGGGUCGUCCGGUCACGCUGACAACUUCUUUUAAUGUUUGACCUCGGAUCAGGUAGGGAUACCCGCUGAACUUAAGCAUAUCAAUAAGCGGAGGAAAAGAAACCAACAGGGAUUGCCUCAGUAACGGCGAGUGAAGCGGCAACAGCUCAAAUUUGAAAUCUGGCUCUUUCAGGGUCCGAGUUGUAAUUUGCAGAAGAUGCUUUGGGUGAGGCACCGGUCCAAGUUCCUUGGAACAGGACGUCAUAGAGGGUGAGAAUCCCGUACGUGAUUGGUACCUUUGCUCGUGUAAAGCUCUUUCGACGAGUCGAGUUGUUUGGGAAUGCAGCUCAAAAUGGGUGGUAAAUUUCAUCUAAAGCUAAAUAUUGGCCAGAGACCGAUAGCGCACAAGUAGAGUGAUCGAAAGAUGAAAAGCACUUUGGAAAGAGAGUUAAACAGUACGUGAAAUUGUUGAAAGGGAAGCGCUUGCAACCAGACUUGGGCGUCGUUGAUCAUCCGGGGCUCGCCCCGGUGCACUCGGCGGCGCGCAGGCCAGCAUCGGUUUCGGUGGGCGGAUAAAGGCCUUGGGAAUGCGGCUCUUCGGAGUGUUAUAGCCCAAGGUGCAAUGCGCCCUAUCGAGACCGAGGACCGCGC
Molecule: ribosomal RNA, 1010 nt
Filed under: uncultured fungus
Lineage: Eukaryota; Fungi
Description: eukaryotic LSU rRNA
Rfam family: Eukaryotic large subunit ribosomal RNA (bases 419-1010)
Source: RNAcentral